UGACAACCAAUGACGGAGAAAAGUAGUUAAGAAUACACAUGGCCAGAGAGGAAAUGCCUUAGGCUGGGAGCAUUUCUCCAUGAUGACUUAACGAAAGACACUCCGUAGGUUUCCCUUUGAACGCGCUGUUUGCGCCAGUAAAAGGGAACGCGAGACACGCGUUAUCGGUAAAAAGUGGAAGCAUUUUGCUUCAAUUAGGGUGGCACCACGGGAAAUAACGCUCUCGUCCCUAUU
Molecule: non-coding RNA, 234 nt
Filed under: Geobacillus sp.
Lineage: Bacteria; Bacillati; Bacillota; Bacilli; Caryophanales; Anoxybacillaceae
Description: T-box sequence
Rfam family: T-box leader
About the family: Uncharged tRNA acts as the effector for transcription antitermination of genes in the T-box leader family. T-boxes are found upstream of many aminoacyl-tRNA synthetase genes and some amino acid biosynthetic genes usually in Gram-positive bacteria. The anticodon of a specific tRNA base pairs to a specifier sequence within the T-box motif, and the NCCA acceptor tail of the tRNA base pairs to a conserved bulge in the T-box antiterminator hairpin.
Source: RNAcentral